AUGGGAGGGCAGGCAGGGGCGAGGGCGGGGUAUGAGGCGGUGCGAGGCCAAUGGAAGGGCGGGCCGGGUCCUCCGGGCCGAGGCGGGGCGCCAGGCGGAAGGAAGCCAAUGGGAGGGCGAGCUAGGGGCGGGGGCGGGGCCCCAAGCCAACAGGAGGGUGAUGACGAGAGGGCGGGGCGCCAGGCAGCGAGAGAGCCAAUGGGAGGCCGAGCCGGGGGCCGCGGGCGGUGGGCCUCCCCGCGCGGGGAGGGAGACCCGGAAGGCGGUGGGGGCGGGGAGCGGAGGGGACAACCUGUCAAAUCCACUUUAGGGCGAACUAGGUCACGCGCUCCCCGAGCAGGGCGCCCCCGCCCGCGAAACCCAGCCGUGGCUCCUUCCUCUUCCUGCCUGCGGCGGUGGGGGCGGGGCGGGCCUCGGGACACCUGCCUCCGCGGCUGGCCGCCGGCCCCGCGCGGCUUCCCGGGCAACUCCGCCUCGGCCGCACACGCCCGGCCCGCUCGCGGCGGCAGGAGCCGGGGUCCCGCGGGACCUACCGCGCUCUCUCCCUGGCCUUCGGGAGCCCGCCGCUGCCUCGCCGGGAAAACCUCGCAACUCCCGCGGCCCCGGCCGUCCCCGCGCCGCUCCUUGUCGCGCGCGGCCGUGGACUCGUCCCCGCGGGUCCCCGUGUGCGGAAGCCGCGGGGGCUGGGGGCGCACUACUUGGCGCGGAAGGGUGGACCGCGGGCGGAGGGAUCCUGGGCAGCGGGGGAAGCCGCAGGGAGGAGUCGGGAGGGGCCGCCGGGAGGAACCUGGCGCCAGCCCCCGCCCGCCCCACCCACGCGCGCCGCAGUCACCUGUUCCCCGCGGGAGCCCGGCAGCGCUCGGGGGAAGGCGCGCGCGCAACCGGGUCUGCUGCUUUGUGCCCGUGGAGUCGAUGGGAGGGCGCAGCGCGCUGGGGUCUUCCGGGCCGGCGGUCAGCCUGCACUUUCCCCCUCGCGUGCGGACCGCGGCGUUCUGUCUCUAG
This 1002-nucleotide long non-coding RNA is filed under the name Callithrix jacchus (white-tufted-ear marmoset). RNAcentral describes it as "lncRNA (ENSCJAG00000073031.1)". Lineage: Eukaryota; Metazoa; Chordata; Mammalia; Primates; Cebidae. The record is from RNAcentral.